AUGACAGCCAUCUUAACUCAUUUGACAUCACAUUAUUCCAUGGACCACUUACAGGUGUGAGAUAUCAUUGUUCAUGGAUGGGAACGUUUAAAAUUGGUUAUUUGUCCAUAACUAAUCCAAAAGCAAAAUUCAUUAUUUUCCAAAUAUUGUUAAAAAUUAUAUUUACAUCUGAUGGGCCAUGUUUAGUGUGACUUUGGGUGAGCAUUUAAAGCAAGGCAAGAGCUUAAGUACUUAAAUCAUUUUGUAUUUUUGUAAUUCUUGUAUUGUUGUCCUAUUUCUUCCUCAACAGUACAAUGUAAAAUCCCUUUGCAACAAAACGGAAUUAACCCUUUAAGAACCACACAUCACUUCAGUGAUCUGAUAUAUUCCUAUGGUCCCUGAAGUGGUGAAUGAACCAUUUGUCAGUUUGACAAUGUAACCAUUUAAAUGCCACUCAAAUAGAAUAAUAGUACAUUUUGAGACAUAACAUCUGCGAUAGAAUGAUGCAAAUGUCCCUGAAGUUAGAAGCGUUUGCAGAAAUUAAAUUAUUUAGUAGGUUUAAACAGGGCCUUCCAUUUUCACUUGGAUAAUGUAUAAAUGACAAUACAUUAAAUUCAUCAUGUUUAUUAAGCGCCUGGAUGUAGAGUUGUAAAAAUAAAACCUAUUCAAUAAUAAAGAUAAACAAACACUGCCAACCCUGUUCAGCUAUAGUUUUGCUAAUCUGAUCAAUAAUUCUAUUGACCUUCCUAUUGGAAAAACCAAGGGCAGCAGAUCGAGACAUAUUAAAUGUAUACUGCAGAUAGAAGGAUGGUGUCUGGUUUCAGCGACAAGAGAUGGUAGCUAUAUUUUAUUCGUAAUGUAUUCUAUUUCUUUUUACCGUUAACAAUAACAAGUGUAUUUUAGCAGAACAUAAAGAAUACCUGAUGCUGUGCACUUAAAGUCACCCAUAUAAGUAGAAACAAUGGGAGGGACCAAACUCCAGUCAUUUCCAAGCCUGCUUAGGGAAGGCUCAUCCUCACAGGGGACUGGGGUUGAGAGGUGAUUGGCUGAAGUCCUAGGACACAGCAGUGAUUGGAUCAAAGGAUUGAGCCACAUCAGUGAUGAUUUAAUUUUAUUCUCUGAAAUUCCUAUAUGCAGGGCUGGAGAAGUGAAGCAAGGAGACUCACUGCUGUACACCUGACAAAAGGGGAAAAAAAAAAACUAACUUGAACUGCUUUUGGUAUUCAGCCUGACAGUACAAAUGAGGACCAUUAAUACACCUUUAUGAAGAAAGUGAAAAAAAGAAAUUAAAGUGUAAUCAGCGUGCAAGUGAGAUCCCCGUUUUUACAUGCGACAGGGUUGAAAAUAUGUUAAGAUGGACACUUUUCACAGGUAAGAACUUUCAUGCAAUUAUUUUAUAUUGGUAAAUAAAAGAUAGAAAUAGCUAUAUUUUAUUCAAUGUAUUUAAAAAUUAUUAUUUUUUUUAUCCAUCUCAGACAGUCAUGUAAAGGUGAGGUCAGGUCGAAAGGAUUAAUAUAAAGACAGGCUUAAGAAAUAAACUUAAGUGACUUGUCCUUAAGUCAUUAGAUGACAGAAAAGAAACAAAAACAAACAUUAAACAAAGGAGAAGUUCUGUUUUCGUAAAGUAACAUUUUAUUAAAUACGCACACAAAAAAAACCCAACCAACUAUUAAAAUAACUAUGGUACGAUAGCGAGGUGUUGAUAAUAUAGAAUACUGAUUAGAACAUAUAUUUUAUCUUUGCCCCUGUAGUGACCUACUCAGCUCAGUACAGUGUGAGUUGUAUUACAUGACGGCACUGAAAAGUGUGACUAAUUACAAAUGGUGUGAGGAGGGGAUGAGACGAUUUAUAAGUGCAAUAUAGCUUUAAAAUCUACUUAACAAGAUAUUGUCAGGUUUCAGAAUGUUCAUAUUAAACACUCUACAGAGAACGGUNNNNNNNNNNNNNNNNNNNNNNNNNNNNNNNNNNNNNNNNNNNNNNNNNNNNNNNNNNNNNNNNNNNNNNNNNNNNNNNNNNNNNNNNNNNNNNNNNNNNGAUCUAUAAUAAGUUAACAUCACAUUAUGUAACAAGGAAGUGUGCAAUUAGGUUUUUAAUUUUCAAUUACAUAUAGGGGGUUUAAUGUUAAUAUUACAAAAUAUAAAGGUACUUAGGCUAUCACGUUUAGAUGGAUGAAAUAUUGAAAUGAUCCUGCUUGGAAAUAAAAUCGGAAUAUGCAAUAGAUACUAAAAGGAGUGCAUUUAUCACUGUGCUAUCUUACAAGAGAGUUAGACCAUUUCUUUUUGUUCAUAUUUUUUUCUUUGUAUUAAUCACUAUAGAGCCACAUGUAAAAGUAUAUUCACUCAAACAGGAACUGUGGAAAAAUAAACAAGAGAAUUGCAUUGUGUUUGGAAAAAAAGCUGAAUGGGGUGAAAAAACUAAACUUUGCUAUUUUCCAAAAAUGCAAUUUCCUUAUGUAUUCUCCAAAAUUUGCAGCUUAGUGAAUAACCACAAAUAAUGUUAAUUUACUCUAAUGUGAUCAUUUGCUAAGGAAUUGAUUAGAAAUUGCACUCUUUUGGGCAAAAUAGCAUAAUCGGAAAUAUUCUCCAUCGCGUCUUUUUUCCAGGUUUCCUGUUUUGGCCUUUAACUUGCAAUCCCCUCAUCAAUUAAUGGGAUUUCACAUUUUAAUUAAUAACUCUAUAACUUUUUUUUUUUUUUUUUAAAACCCUAAACUGUCUUUUACACCAUCUCCUUUAAAAUCCUCAUUACCACAGUGCAACACAAAAACGCGAGGAAAGAGUAACUUGUUUUUAUUUUCUUAUUUAUUGUCUUUAUUAUUAGUAGACAUCACAGUAAUAAACACUAUAGUCAAUAAACUGCAAAAUGCCCAGAAAAUAGCUCAGCGGGACACAUUUCCUAGAUCUUUACAUAGCAUUUGUCUGUCAGCUCUGCACAAUUUCAAUUUAGUGAACGACAGAAAAUCAUGAAAUAGUUAUUUGCUAUGAAACGGACACCCAAACUACAAAAAAUGCAGGCCAAACUAGCCAAAGUGGAAAAAAAAUAGAAUUGGAGAAUUUUUCUAAUUUAGCAGCAAAUACAAGGUUUUUUCGAACAUAUAUUUCUAUGAACAGCUAAGAUACUGUGCAGAACCCUCCGACUCCUAGGCCUCUGGUAGAGACAUCUGGUAGAGGACCCGAGAAUGAGGAAUAAAUACACCACCAGGAGGGGUGAAAAAAAAAUAAUCUCUUUUAUAUAUCCUAUCCUUUAAAAAUAAGUAUCCCAAAAAAAUACAUAAAAUUAAGUCUCUAUCCUGGAGACUGUAUAUAUGCCUAUGUCUGAAUUGAGCUCUUCCGUUUUAAUGCUUAAGAGCAAUUUGAUUGGCUGGAACAGCACAGCCGAUCACUUGCUUCAUUCCUUUACCACAAGAUGCAUCUGAUAUAGUCUGUUAGCCUUGAAAUAUUUAUUUAUUUGCCUUCUGCAAAUGGGUUUUUGGAAUAGUAUAUGAUCGUUUGCUAGUCCCACCAUGUGGAAGGGGGUCCGUAGGUCUUCGGAAAUCUUUUUGGUCUCCACAUUUUGAAUCAAAUUUUAGGAAUGGAGAGGCUUUUAUUUAUUUUGCAUUAUCAUUGUAAUACAGUUUGCAGUCUUUUUCAUUAAAGAUGUUCAAUAGUGAGGAAAGUCAGCGUUUGAUUAGUAUCCAACUUGUUUUACUUGCAAUAGCUAGUCAUUGCUCCAAACUAGAGCUAACCGGAGCACUGUCUGCUGUGAUGGGUGACACUGCAUUCAACUUGUCUUUAGUAAAUAGAAGGUUUUACUUCAGUAUGGCUUUUACACACCCGGUUUAUUUUAUUCAGGUUUUAUUUGUCAUCUAUGAGCAACCAAACCAAAUGGAACUCUCAACUUUCUUGAAUAGGAUUCUCCUAUAUCUCCAUUUUAACCAGAAACAGUUUUUAAUAUGUAACAGGCUCCGAUCGAGCAUAGUGUAGAUGGCAGUGUAUGGCCUUCGUUUUACCCAGUACAGCCUUACACAGUGCAUUUAUAUAAGCAACGUUUUGAUGUAUUCAUUGAAAAAGUGUUCAAUGUGUUCUCUGCUAGGGCCUUACAUUAACGAAAUAACAAUAUAUGUUUUGCACAUUUAUCUUUUAGUUUUGGCUGCUUGUGGUUAGCAAGCAAACUUUCAUGAAUUAUUAUGCCAAUGCAAUUGGUCCCUAUGUUAUCAGUGCAUUAGUUUUAAAAUACACAUAAUGGUUUUGACUUUUUAUUUAUCCCUUUGCACAAUCUUGAUAUUCUGAUACCUGGUUCACCUUAGAAUAUGGCUGAGCUCAGGCCUGGUCAGUACUCUUAUUAUGGACAUGCGCAUUAGUUAUCAAGUGCUGUUACAUACACACACACACACACACACACACACACACAUAUAUAUAUAUAUAUAUAUCUCCUUUACAUAUGCAAAAGAGAAAGCGAGGGAAUGAAGAUAAUCUAAAAUGAUGAUGAAGUGUGUGUUACAGGAAAUAGUGCCAUCUGAGGUUUCUAGAACCAUCAUAUUGAACCAUAUGAUCAAAAGCAGCAUUGUUUUUUCAAAUCUGCUUUACCAUUACAAAUAUUUGGUUAUAUCAUUUUGUUCUUGUAAUUAUUCGCAUGGAUUAAUGUAAUUCUCUCCUAAUUGAUCUACCCAGAAGCCGUACUGCCCACUACAAUCUGUAAUAAAUGCUACAGCCAGGCUGAUUUUUCUCUACUGUCGCUCCUCUCAUUCCUAACCCCUCUGACAAUCCUUGCAUUGGCUUUCUGUAUCCUAUAGAUGUCAAUUUAAAAUACUAACCUUUUCUUUUUUUACUAUGUGCAAAUGGGUUAUGUUAUAUUGAUAAAGAUCUUAACAACUCUAGCCCUGUUACAUUUCUUCACCGAUUCGUAGGUAUGCCCCUUCUGUCUCUCUGCUCUGCUGGUGACCUUCUCCAGUCUGCUGCUCGCACCCUUACAGCUAAUUCAUGCUUGCAGGACUUCUCGCAGGCGGCUCCUUUCCUUUGGAACAGCCUGUCUACCCCCAUCAGAAUCUCCCCUAGUCUUCAAUCAUUUAAGAAUUCUCUCAAAAUCUAUCAUUUCAGAAAUGCUUAUGGCUUCCCAGAGUAACUUCUAUCUUACAAAUCUGCCUCUUUCUCCUAACGGGCCCCACUCCACUCUCACCUGCAGUUCUGCUAUUUUUCCACCUUGUUGUUUGCUGUCCCCCUUGAUUCCUUUCCUAUUGUAUCUUUUUACUGCAAUACUGUAGACUGCAAGCUCGUCUGAGCAGGGUUCUCAUCAACCUACUGUUCCUCUAACAUUUUGUCAUUGUCUCAUUUAUUGUUAAAUUGUCCCCUUUUUAUAAUAUUAUAUAGUGCUGCGGAACAAGUUGGCACUAUAUAAAUACCAAUAUUUAAUAAUAAUAUAGAGUUUGAUUAGAAUUAGAUCUAGGAUCACUUUAAUCUCAUGACAACAAUGUUACAUUUAUUAUAUAUCCUGGUUUACGUGACAUGUACUCAAACUCAGGCCCAUUUGAUUUACUAAUGCACCAGGAGAGAAUCAAGGGAUUAGGAAUUACACUAUUUCCAUCUAGGGGAGAUGAAGGGAAAGAGACAUAAGUGAGGAGGAGAGAUUUUGAGACCUAUACAAUGGAGGGGGAGGUGAGGAGAUGCACAUGUGGAAAGGCCACAGCAGAAUGGCAGAUGUGCUAAAUGAGGAGAAAAAAUGUUAAAUAAAUACAUGUAGCAGAGAGGGCAAUGGAAUAGUAUGUAGACAUGGGUUUACAUAGACCAUUAAGUAGACCAGGGAAUACCAAAACAGAUGCACUUGCAUGCAUACACUAUACUCAAAUGCUAUUCACACUAAUCUCCAUACAAUACAUGCCUUCAUUCACACACAAAUACACCCCUUCAUUCACAUACACUGACAUCUUGCACAAAUACACCUGUUCUCUCACAUACACUGACAUACUGCACUAAUACACCCCCAUUUACACACACACACACACACACCACCUUCUACACCCUGCAAUCACACACACAGGCAUUCCACACAUACAACCCUUCAUUCACACACAAUCUCUCCACACAAAUACAUCACUAUACUUUAAGCAUCCGCAUAUUAACACAAUAACACUCUGAACAAAUACAUAUCUGCAUUUGCACCUAGUACUGACAAAAAUAACCCCAGUGCAUUUUCUGUAUGACUGUGAGCAAAUAAAGCUAUAGAGGGUCACUUUUAGCACAUAGACCACUUCACCUCAUUUAAGUGGUCUAGGUGCAAUGUACCUGCCCCCUUAGUCCUGAAAUGACAGCCACUAGAGGCACUUCCUGUUUUGUAGUAGACUUUAAGUCUCUUAAAUGACGCUGGACAUGAUCACGCUUUGCAUGAGAAGAUUCAGUGUCAAUGAAAUCCCCAUUGAUUCAAUGCAGGUGGAGGAAGAUUGGCGCUGUAAUCAGGUGAGUAAAUAAAGUAUUUUUAACCCUGUAUGUGUCACAGGGAGGAGGGUUGGGGACCAGAGGGCAGUUGUUAAUUAGUUAGUGUUUACUGUAUGGCUGAGCAUGCGUCUGUCUUACAUUGUAGUUAUAAGUAAACUGUAUUUACUAGGCAUCUAGCAAUAGCUGUAUUAUUAUAUAGUUUCCCAUGCUGUUUUUUUUAAUAUUGUGUCCAUCCCAGAAUUUUUAAAUUCAGUUUUCAGAUUCUAAAUUGUUGGUUUCUAACUUUUUUGGAACCAUGGUAUAGUUCAAUAGGAUAAACAUUUCUGUUGCACACCUACUUCUUUUCCUUUUAUUUGACCCUGUCUAGAGAGAUACAUAUUCUUCUAGCCUAACUGAUUUUAGUUGAAAAUAUUUGCAGUAGUUUAAUAAUAUUUAUUUUACUACAAAAAAAUGUAAAAAAAAUUUAAGAGGUGGCCUGAAGCACAUCAAUUUGCCAUGGCUCACUCUAGGGAAAUUCUCCUGUGCUCUCUGCUAGCAUUGUACACUUUCUUAUUUUAUACACAACUCAGCUCUUAGUCCUUUCUCAGUCUUACCCUCUUAGCAAUGUACACAGUGCUCUCUCUUAGUACUCUUUCUAACCUCUCUUAAAAUAUGGACCCUUCUUUGGAAAACAUGUCUCCCCUAAAAGUUAAAAUAUCCCAUAUUGUAGAGGAAGGAUUACUGUUCACUUGUACCCUUUUAAAUAGUGCUCAGUAAAUCCAGCCUCAGGACUCCAGUUCCCAAUGUAGGACAUCACUGGUGAGUAAUCAUGUGGUGAGUUAUCAGAAAAGUUAUGAGAUCUUGAAACAAACAGAUACAAGAUAGGCCCAGCUGUAAAGUGACAUACUUACCACCAUGUUGUUUAAUGACACUAUAUAAUCAUAAAAAAGAGUAAUUCAUUCUAAAAUGACUUUGUAACUGCUCAAAGAGCCGCAUCUUUGGACUAUAAGCUGUUAUAGUGACACUCUGCAUACGCCGUGAUGCUAACCAUUUGUGCAAGUAAGCUGCUAGUUUUUUUUUUUUUUUUAAUCACUGAAUAUAAUAAAGAUGUUUGGGUUCCAUAGAAGUUGUGGCAAUUUAUACUAUUUUGAGACGUGCUACCCUUGAUCUAACAAGCGGCUUUAUUGUGUGGAAUAGAAUUUAAAUGUGAGUUUAUUAGUUUAUAUAGUGUAUUUUGUUUUCUUCAAAAGAAAAAGAUAACUGAUGGAAAUAGAAAAGAUUGGUAUUUUGCUGCUUUUUCCUAUCUCGAAGGUUUAAAGUAGCGCUCCACUUUUCUGGACAUUUUGUUCUAAAAUUGCUUGUCACUGUCAAAAUAAAUGUUGCUCCUCUGUGGAAAGUGAAGGUCUGAAUAGUAAACAGCCUUGAUGCUUCCUUUUACAUCAUACAAUAGUUUAGCAUUUAGAUGACUUAAUUUAUUCCAUCACAGUAGCAAGAAAUUGCUUUCAGUUAGCUUUGCUACUUUUAUACAUGUUUGGUAAGUUAUGCUUUGUUUUAAACUAUGUUAAGAUGAACAUGAUAGCUGUGUUACCUGGUUUGUAAAUAUGAUACAUUUAUAUCUUUAACCAAUUUAAAAAAAAAAAAAAGUGUUUAUGUCUUACUUGUUGCUGUUGAAACUUUUCCUUUUUUUAUGUCACAUACCUUUCGUUUUUUGACCAGAGAAAGACAGACACUUUGAUUUCAAGGGCUGUCUCUUUUGUGUGUGUGUGAUAGCAGACCACUUAUGUAUAAGGAUAGGACUUUAAAGAAAUCUUCCUAUUUUGCCUGUCUUUUUGAUUUAAAUAGGUACUUGUUUUUAGAGAGUUCCUAGCUCUCAGGUCUUAGCACACGCAAAGCACUAAACAACCAGGAUAUCACAUCUUUGUACCUGAAUGCAAUCUAUAAGGGCCAAGGACCAUUAAUACAAAAUCACCUCUAUAGGCUGUCAGACAUUAAAAUAGUAACAAAAAAAAACCUGAUAAUGGCUGUCCAUGAUAGGAAGAUAUCAGAACACACAGUGCAUUGCUGUUUUCUGUAUAUGGGGCUAUACAGUCGCAGCCCAGUUGGAGUACUUAUGAUGACCCCUGUCCACCACAAAAUGUGUCUUCAAUGGUGACGUUAGUGUAAGAACUGGACCAUGGAACAAUGUAAAAAGGUUGCCUGGUCUGAUAAAUCUUUUUAGAUCUUUUAGAUCAGGUGGGUGGCCAUAUGCAUUGUUUACCUCGGGAAGAAAUGUCAGCACAAUGCACUAUGGGAAGAAGGCAAUCUUUAAGUUUGGAUUCCAAUAUUGCUGAAAGGGUAAGGCAGUGGCUGAGUGACAGGCAACAGAGGGUUGUAGUCAAUGGAGUAUAUUCGAAGCUUGGUCUUGUCACCAGUGGGGUACCUCAGGGAUCUGUACUUGGCCCCAUUCUCUUUAAUAUUUUUAUUAGUGAUAUUGCAGAAGGUCUUGAUGGUAAGGUAUGUCUUUUUGCUGAUGAUACUAAGAUAUGUAACAGGGUUGAUGUUCCAGGAGGGAUAAGCCAAAUGGCAAAUGAUUUAGGUAAACUAGAAAAAUGGUCAGAAUUGUGGCAACUGACAUUUAAUGUGGAUAAGUGCAAGAUAAUGCAUCUUGGACGUAAAAACCCAAGGGCAGAGUACAGAAUAUUUGAUAGAGUCCUAACCUCAACAUCUGAGGAAAGGGAUUUAGGGGUGAUUAUUUCUGAUGACUUAAAGGUAGGCAGACAAUGUAAUAGAGCAGCAGGAAAUGCUAGCAGAAUGCUUGGUUGUAUAGGGAGAGGUAUUAGCAGUAGAAAGAGGGAAGUGUUCAUGCCAUUGUACAGAACACCGACGAGACCUCACUUGGAGUAUUGGACGCAGUACUGAAGACCGUAUCAUCAGAAGGAUAUUGAUACCUUAGAGAGGGUUCAGAGAAGGACUACUAAACUGGUUCAUGGAUUUUAGGAUAAAACUUACCAGGAAAGGUUAAAGGAUCUUAACAUGUAUAGCUUGGAGGAAAGACGAGACAGGGGGGAUAUGAUAGAAACAUUUAAGUGCAUAAAGGGAAUCAACACAGUAAAGGAGGAGACUAUAUGUAAAAAAGAAAAACUACCACAACAAGAGGACAUAGUCUUAAAUUAGAGGGACAAAGGUUUAAAAAUAUCAGAAAGUAUUACUUUACUGAGAGGGUAGUGGAUGCAUGGAAUAGCCUUCCAGAUGAAGUGGUAGAGGUUAACACAGUAAAGGAGUUCAAGCAUGCGUGGGAUAGGCAUAAGGCUAUCCUAACUAUCAGAUAAGGCUAGGGACUAAUGAAAGUAUUUCGAAAAUUGGGCAGACUAGAUGGGCCGAAUGGUUCUUAUCUGCCGUCACAUUCUAUGUUUCUCUGAUGGGCAAUGUUUUACUGGGAGACCUUGGGUCCUGGCAUUCACAUGGCUGUUACAUUGACACGUAGUGGUAGCACCUAUAUAGCGAUUGUGCAGACCAUGUGCACCACUUCAUAGCAAUGGUGUUCCCUGAUGGCAGUGGCCUCUUUUAGCAGGAUAAUGCACCCUGCCAGAUUGCAAAAAGUGUUCAGGAAUGGUUAGAGAAACAUUCCAAAGAGUUCAAGGUGUUGUCGUGGCCUCCAAAUUCUACCGAUCUCAAAUGAGCAUCUGUGGGAUGUGCUGGAACAACAAAUCGCACAAAUUGCAGGACUUAUCAUAGUGCCAGAUACCACAUCAUAGCUGUUUUGGCAGCACAAGGAGGGCAAUACGUAAACAAUACUAAGCAGACGGUUUUAAAUUUAUGACUGAUCAAUGUUUAUAUCUAAAUAAUAUAUAGAUACAUAUAUAUAUAUAUAUAUAUAUAUAUUUUACAUACAUACCUAUUUCUAUUUCUACUUUCCUCUAGUAACUAUUCAUUACUAUUCAGUAGAGGGGAUGUCUUCUUUAACUUUUGCAGAAUGAACUCCCCUAUGUUAUUGCUAAAACGGUAAGUGGUAUUGGUCGAGCUGUGAAAGGCAAUCCCAUUUGUUUCUUGCUGCAGGAGAGUGAAUGGGGUUAUAUAAGAGGUGGAAUAGAUCAAGUAAUCUCUCUUCUCAAUUCAGGGAGAUGCAUGCCAGUCUGCUCACAUUACUGCCUAUGGUGUGAUAAACCUACUACACACUUGGUGGUCAUUCAUCCCUUUCACAUGGUUUGAAGGAAGUUGAGAGAAAGAUAAUGGUUAAUAUGAGUCUUGAGAAGGCUCCAGAAGACUUCCGCAUUAUAUAAAUAUCCACUUUUAUAUACUUAUUCAGCAGUUAAAAACUGCUUGACAAAAUCUUAAGGAUCUUUCUGGUACCGCAUCAUUAAAAACCAGGCUCCCUUCUUUGACCAUAUUGCGAACGUGGAAGUUAAAUGUCAACAUAUUAAUAUCAUCCAACCUCUAUUGUGAAGAUUGCCUGAGAGCACUGGGCUAACCAGCUCUGCUAAUCAAUGAUGCACAGACUGCACAAAAGAUGAGGGGGAAAAGAAUUUGACAUUAGAGCAGGGUGUCUAUUUAACCAAAUUUGCAUCUAUAGCCUUUAAUAAAUAAUCUAUUGUAAAUUCAAAGCUUAGAAAUAUAAUUUUAAAAUGUAACUAGUUUUAAUAGAUAUUUUAGAAUUCAGGGCAUUUCUAAUAGUGAACAAAUUGCAUGCAUACUUGACUCCCCCAAGACUCCAGUUGUCAGCAUGUGUAGAUUAUCCUUGUAUCUGCAGUGAAAUAUCACCAUCGUAUCUAUUGAUUUUAUAUGAUAUUUAUAAUUUCACCCGAUUUACCCAAGCUCCCUGGCUUUCGCUACAGAGGCAAUUGUCAGGAAUUGACAAAGGAAUUUCAAACGUUAAGUCCAAAACUGCCAAGAUGGGAAAAUAGCUGAUUUCAUCAUUUUGGCAUAAAUUUGAAAUGUGAUAGUUAAUUUCAGGUCAUUUUCAUUUUAGUAACUAACUAUAUUUAUAUGAUGCAGCAGUUCAUCAGAGUAAAAUAAAAAGAAGGGUUAGUAAUAAAAAAAAGUGCACUCAACUGGAUUUUAGCAAAAACUGUCUAAACUUUAUUUACAUAUCAAAAUAUAACCCUCUUCAAGAUGUAUGCAUGUACCAGGGUCAUUCACUAAAGUGAGAAUUCAAAGUGAAUUUCAAAUUUUAGGCCAAAGUAGCUGACUUAGACAAUGUUUCCAAAUCAGCUAUAUUGUUCUUAAAAUUGAAAUUCACUUUCCAAAAAUAUUUUUUUUAAAUCACUUUGAUUUCACUUUGAAUUCUUACUUUAGUGAAUAACCCUGUAUACAUAUGAAUGGAUGACACACAGAAAUAUAUAGAAGUACACACAGUAUGCAUGUACAUAUAGAACUACAUACAAACAUCAACAGUGCAGACAGUUAUACUGUAGCUGUACUGAGCAUGUUUGAAUACUCCAAUUUACUUAUCUGGUCUAACAUAAGGGAGGGAUAGUAGUGUAUAGCUUUAGUGACUCUGGAUGAAGAUCAUGGUCCUUACAGUAACCCUUUAAUCACCCACAGGAGGCUCCUGUAGGAUUUAGCAGGUAUAGAUUAAAUUAAAGCUCCCUUUACAGGAAAAGUGUAGGGAGUCUGUGCUAGUUACAGGCAGGGGAGGUGUGGCUAGGGCUACAUAAACAAAGUGAUUUAACUCCUGAAUGGCAGAGAAUUCAAAAUUGAGACUGCAUGGACAUGAUCUGUACACCAAAACCACACCAUUAAGCUAAAGUUGUUUGGCGCUUAAAGUAAAUCUUUAGAAAAUGUUUUAGCUAUGUAGAGCGUGCCCUACAGCCUCAUUGCUCAAUACUCUGCUAUUUAGGGGUUUAUGCAGAUAUAUUCACACCUCCUCUGGCUGUAACUCACACAGCCUCCUUACACACUUCCUGAAUAGAGAUAUAAUUUUAAACUUCCUUUAUGCAAUGUGUUUCUUUUAGAAAUUAUGAUCUCCUGCUCUAUUAAUUGCUUGCUAGAACCUGUAGCAGCCAUGUGAGAUUAAAGUUAUAUUAAAGUUCAAUUAGCAGAGCAGGAUAUAAUCACUUUAAAAGUAAACAUACUGUGCUGUAAGAUCAGUUUGUAAAUUAAACUUUUUUUUUCAUGGAGGCUGUGUGAGUCACAUGCAGGGCAGGUGUGGCUAGGACUGCAUAAACAAAGGGAUUGCAUUUCUAAACGUUAGAAUAUGAAACAGUGAGGCAACCCAAGCAUGCUAUUCACACCAAAAACCUCUUUAUUAAGCUAAAGUUGUUUUGGUCCUUAGACUCUCCCUUUAAUUGAUACAAUUCCUGUGGUGCUUCCCUUCCAUACUUGCACCACUUACACCCCACCCCACUACAUAAGUAAAAAUGUUUCCUGAAAAGUUGCAGUCUUUUGGAACUAUUUAUGUAUAAGUAUCGUAUUCAGUGACAUAUACAUCUCCCAUGUUAAAAUUAAUUUAGGACACAGUAUGUGAGUACUUUGACACAGUACUGGACUUAGUAAGGUUUGGCCAUGUGGCGUAUGAAACUAUGGGCUAAAAAUGACCCAUUAAAGAAAAAAGUUAAGAUGCAGCUGUUGGCAGACCCCUCCCUCAUCAAUAACGGACACUCCAGACCCAUUAUUCUCUGCAGCUUGAUGAAGUGAUUUAUGUGUGUAGAGUGUGUCCUCUUUUUUAUUAUACAGUAUUAUACCCCCUGGCAGUCAGUCAGUCAGACAAGAGGUCCUAUUAUUUUCUAGUUGUUUAUCUCAGUGUAGCUAAAUUCAAGAGGCAUACAAUUUCCCAGAUCACCUGCUUUGCAAAAAAGUCUAAUUGAGCUGCAUUGGGAAGUCUGUGAUUGGACAGCCACUAAAAGCUUUAGCUGAAAAAUAAGUGCAAGGGCUUUAGACAAGAGAUCUGCAGCUUUUACAAGCUGGUUUUAAUUAUACGGUUACCUCCAAUGAAAAAAAUGCAUAAUUAAAUGCAUGUAUGUUUUCAUUUGGGGUAUAUAUACUAAACAGUGAAUGUGUUUUAUUUGGGCAGUAGCAUGUCCCUUUAAAAGGGAGACAAGAGAUCUACAUCAUUUGCAAGCAGGUUUUUUACCUAUACCCCCCAUGCAACCAAAAAUGCACUUUUAAAUGCAUGCAUGGUUUCAUUUGGGUACAUAUACUAAACAGUUAUUUUGAUUUAUUUGCAUUUUUCAUUGGAGUGUUUCUUUAAAAUAUAUGAAACUAUUGGUGAUUACCUUUGUGUAAAAAGAGACCGUUUCCGUAGUAUUGCUAAACAUUCUUCAUGAUCUGGGCAGUCAUGGCUCUUUUAUCUGAGCAAAGAAUGAUGUAAAAGCAUUGUACACCCCCCACAUUUACAGAAUUAUUUACUAACACUUUGAAACCUCAAACCUUAGCGAAUAUUACAUUAAUAAAUAAAAAAGACAAAGGCCAGUCUCAAGAGACUCUUUAACAAGCAUAGAAUUCAGAUACUGUUUAACGUGCUUUUUCUUUAUAUUAAUAACAUUCUGUUAAAUGGUUUUCCUUAAUUGGUUUUUCUUAUAUCCAUCUGUUAACUAUCUGAUGUGUAAUAUUGUGUAUUACUUGCUAAUACUUAUGUUGAAGUUACGUACAACUACAUCAGUAUUCUAUUUGAUUUUGCAUUCCCAUAAAGAAAUUAAUUUAAAAAAAUAUCCAAUAUUUAGUGUAUAAAAAGUGUACAAGCAUGCAAAAAUAAAAUCUUGGAAUUCUAAUUUAAAGAUGCAAUUAUAUUGCGUGUUAGUAUGUAAAGUGUUUUGAGUGUCCCUUUAAACAAUCUGCUUAUGAGAUAGCAAACCCACAUACAAAACACUGUAAGCAAAUGAGGCCCAUGACCAAAAGCGUUUUUGCCUUUGGCAAGUGUGUUCAUUUGCUCUCUGCCUGUCUGCACGCUACUUACUGGACGCAUCCAGUUUUCAUUGAUUUAUACAUGGUGUAAAAUUUUCGAUGCCGGAGAGAGCUGCUGGAUUAAUUUCCAUGAAGGGAAUGAAUUGUAAUUAUCUGUCUGUAGUAAGUCCUAGAAUUAACUGUGUAAGCUGACAUGUGAGAGCUACAUAUUGCAUUUUUUAAUGUUAUUUAAAAAGGCAAGGAAAUUAGAAUGAAAAAUAAAUAUUGUUCAAUAUGGUCAGAUUUCUUAAUACAGAAAAUAAAUGAUGGUUCAGGCACUCAAGUUAAAUUCAAAGUGAGUGGGUGUAUUGGAACAGAUGAAAGCAACAUUCGGCUUUGGGCCGAAACUUUGCUUUCAUUUGCUCAAAUAAACCUGCUCGCUUUGGAUUUACUUCGAGUACCUAGACCAGGGGUAGGAAACCUUUUAGCAGCACUGUGCUGAAAUAUGAUUGUGAUGUCCCGUAGCGUGUCAGUCCUAUUUCUUUAAAUUGAGAUGUGCAUGUUGCCAUAUUCUGCUUGUGUUAUUUAUACUGCAGUUGUUUUGUAUCUUUGUAUUUGUGCGUAUAUGAGCUAUUAUAUUGUAUAUGUUCAUUAAUAGUUUGUGGUAUCAUGUAUAAUACCUAUGAAUUUUGGCUGUGUAUGGGGGCUGCUUGUGGAAUUGUGUGUGGAUGGAUAUGUCACAUGUCACAUUGUGUAUUUGGUAGUGUGUGUAUGUGUGGGGCUGUUUGGGGUAUUGCAUGUGAGAGGCUGCAUAUGGGGUUGUGUGUAUGUAUGUGGAUUGUUGGUGGUGUUGUGUUUGUGCAGACUGUAUGUGUGUUUGUGUGUGAGCUGUUUGCAUUAUUUGUAUGAGGGGAGGGUUAUUCUGCAGCUCUGUGUAUAUCUAGCAGUGUGGGAGGCUUCCCUGGGUUUUAGUGGGGACCAGGUUGGCCAGGUACAGCUCAAGGACAGAAGCUGCAAUAGGAAGCUGUGGGCUGCUCUACUCCAGUGUGAAUUCCCAUUCACAAGUGCUGGGAGGAAGUGAUUUGAGAUCACUUCCUCUACGUGCUGCAAUGCAUAAAUGGAGGAUUGUCCUUCACCACCUUUUCGUAUUAGCAGAUAUCUGAAGUUUCACUGGGACUCCUGACAGGCCAGAGCCUGUUUGGCACUUUUAGCCUUGAGUGUCGUGCAAAGGAACCUCGAGUGCCAUGCAUGGCACUAGUGCCGUAGGUUGCCUACCCCUGACCUAGACCAUCAUUUAUUUUCUAAAAAAACUUUGUGAGUAUUGGCUAACCUCAGGCCCGGUUGCACCCCAGGAUCUAUGAGCAUGCAAUAUAUUUUAUGGUUAUUAGAUUCUUUAAUAUCGAAAUCAAUUCUAAAUAAAUCCUAAUGAAUAAAAUGCAAAAUGGACUCAGUCUUUACUUUACUUUUACAUUAGAGUUUAACAGGAACCUUACAUAACUCUAUAGUGACUAGUAUGUAAAUAAUUUUGAAAUAAGUAUCCGAGAGUGUGUCUGCAUGCCUUCAAACCUGUAAAAGUAAGAACCAAAGCAUACUUUUGUUUCUUUUAUCUGUCUCAUUGUCCUAAAAUGGCUUCUGUUUUGCUUCAGAGUAUGCAGUGUUUACACUUCGUGAUUAACCCCUUAAGACCGCAGGGCGUUCUAUGUCGUCCUUAUUUAGAUGGCUCUAAAAGCCGCAGGGCGGCAUAGAACGCCCUGCGAUCUUAUGUACUUACCCGGUCGCCGGCGAUCGUGGUAUGGAGACUCACCUGGGAGCCCAGGGAGUCCCCCUCCGUUCUCUUCGGCCCCCCAUGUGAUCACGAGAUCCUUGCGAUCACAUGGACGGCAUUGCCAGCAGGGGGAAUGCCUGUAAUGACAGGUACUCCCCCCUGCUGCCUGAAAAUAAAAUAAAACAGUUUAAAUCAGUGUAAAAAUAAAUAAUAUAUACUUAGAUCAUAUAUAUACUUAUUAUUUAUAUGAUCUAAGUAUAUAUACACACAUACACAUAUACUGUCUAAGUGUAUUUUAAUAUUAAUAUAUACAUACAUAUAUUAAUAUCAAAAUACACGUACAAUGAUAUUGAUUAAAUAUAUAUAUAACUUUCAUUUUAUAUAUAUAUAUAUAUAUAUAUAUAAUAAAAAUAAAUAUGUAAAUGUGGCGAAAGUGACCUCGCCACUGGUUUUUAGAGGGGCCCGUUUGCCAACCUCCUGCCCUGCGACUAUGGCCCGGGUGUGUGUUGCCCUUUAAGAACAUUAUGGGGGCUUAUGGACUUUUACUGGACUGGUGCUGGCCCUUUAAGCACAUUUUUGGGACAUGGGGAAAAUUGGGACAAUGCUCCUUUAAGACUGUGUCCCCAGACGUGUUUGGGACACUGCCCCUUUAAGCCUGUGUCCCCAGUGUCCCCAGACUUGGUUAAAGUACUUUGUUCAUGGCUUCUUUACACUUGGUUCAGUAAAUGGGGCUUACUGAACCAAGUACCACACAGGCGGACCACCCAGAAGUGGAAGUGUGCAGGCAAUUUACCUCGGCUGGGAGCCUGCUGUAGGUAAAUUGCCGACCGCUGGGUGGCUACCAUUCGCACAAACGAACACAUGGUGGCGGCCAUAUUUGUUCAUUCAUAUGAGGUCAGCGGUAUGUGUAGCCAAAUCCAUGGAACUGAAAUCGGCUACACAUUUCAACGAACGCCGCUGACCUCUACCUUCUCCUGCACUUCGACACUGCAGCUGGAGACUAAGUCCCGUUCGAAGAUUCGAACGCUCGCUUGAAUGGGACUUAGUAAUUUUUUUCAGUGUAAAAUAGACCGACCGCACAGCCCAAAUCCAUGGAACUGUUUUUGGCAUGAAAAUGUGCUUGUGGUUGGUCAUAAAGGACUUCCAGCUAACUUUUGAUCUACUGGACGGACUUUUAUGAUUUUUGAGUAUAUUUAUAUUUGAAGGACACCGAUUUCAAAUAUGUAACUUAUUAAUAUUGCAUGCAUACUUUUAAAGUUAUAAGAAUUGUUUAAAAACUGUAUAUUUUCUGCCUGUGCUAAUUAAGUUAGUCUAUUGUCUUGAGAAAAUUUUAUCACAGGCAGAGGGGAGGAUUUCUGCUGGAAGUGGUUUACUUUAUUGUAUGUAUUGUAAUGUUUUUAUUGGUUGUUCUGAAAAACCCUGUGGGUGGUCCUGUAUGUGUAAGACCUCCAUAAAAGAAGGCCCUUUGGUGCCAAGUAAAACAGAGUUCUUCUUCACCCUCAAUCUAGAGUCCUGUCUCUUAUUGGGGGAAUUUCUAUAUCACUAUAAGGGAUUGCUAUGCUCUGCAUGCUCCCUUGGAUAAUCACUUCUAAGCUCUUUUAAGAGCUUGUUCCUGUCUUGCUCUUGGAAGGAGUCUACGGUGGUUAUGGUGUCGGCUGGAGUGCUUGGAGCCCUCAGGAAGCGCUAGGAGCAUCCUUCAACGGAGGUACUUAUUCGGGGUGCCAGAAGAUCCGUUACAGUAAAUACGUAAAAAAAUAAAAUUAAAAAGAAAUAAAUAAAUAUAUAUAUACAUGUGUAAUUUCGUUCCACUGUAUUAAAAAAAAAAUAUAUAUAUAUAUAUAUAUAUAUAUAUAUAUUGAUAUCAAAAUACAUGUAGAACAAAAUAAUAUAUAUCUAUAUACAUAAGUAUAUAUCUAUAUAUACCUAUAUAUAAAUAAAAAUAAUUUAAAACAGUUAUAUACACACACACACACAUAUAUAUAUAUAUAUAUAUAUAUAUACACACACACAAACACACGUAUAUAUUUAAUAAUUCUACGUAUAUAUUUAUGUAAUAAUUUUACAUAAUUAGGUCAUUUUAAUAAUUACAAUUUGCAGGACCUGCCUGACAACCCAGGCCAAAAGUUCAGGGAAUUUAAUUUGCUAGCACUAUAUUUAACCCUGUAACUUUCCAAGACACCAUAAAACCUGUACAUGGGGGGUACUGUUUUACUCGGAAGACGAUAUUGUCCGUGACGGUGAAAUUUUUUGAAUUUUUCACACACAAAUUGCACUUACACUGAUGAUAUAUUUGUUGUGAUAUCUUUUACUGUUUUGAAACACUAAUAUUUGUGUUCAGCGAAGUCUCCCGAGUAUAACAGUACCCCUCAUGUACAGGUUUUAUGGUGUUUUCCAAAGUUACAGAGUCAAUUAUAAGGCUUGCGUUUCAGUUUUUUCACAUUAAAAUUCGCCAGGUUGGUUACGUUGCCUUUGAGACCGUACGGUAGCCCAGGAAUGAAAAUUAUCCACAUGAUGGCAUACCAUUUGCAAUAGUAGACAACCCAGGGACCAAUUUCAAUGUGAAAGAAAUGAAAAAUGUAACACGCUAUAUUUGACCCUGUAACUUCCCAAAACACCAUAAAACCUGUACAUAGGGGGUACUGUUUUACACGUGAGAUAUCGCUGAAUACAAAUAUGUGUAUUUUAUUGCAGUAAAAGCAAACAGUAUUUUGACAUUCACAGUUAAAAUGUCACGUAGAACUAAGACAAUUUAAAAAAAUCUUAUUUUCUUCCAUUUUUUUUAUAUUUUAUUCAUAUUAAAUUAUGUUCCAUACCUAAAUAUUUGAUGUUAAAUGAAAGCCAUGUUUCUCCUAAAUAAAAUGAUAUAUAAUAAGUGUGGGUGCAUUUAAUAUGAAAGAGGUGAAUUACGGUUGGACUGACAUAUAGCGCAAAUUCCAGGUUUUGUUUACGUUUUGUUUUGAUCACAACUUGUACAUUUGGCUGCAGUCUUAAGGGGUUAAGGACAGCUUUUACAGACUGAAACAUCGACUGGAACGUUGUGUGAAUUUGUAAUUGCUCAAUAAAGCAACAGAUGAAAUUUACCUAGAAAGACUCCUGAGUGCUCUCUACUGGUAUUGUGUAUAUUAUAUUAUAUAUAUAUAUAUAUAUAUAUAUAUAUAUAUAUAUAUAUAUAUAUAUAUAUAUAUAUAUAUAUAUAUAUAUAUAUAUAUAUAUAUACACAUACACACACAUUUUUUUAAAAUAAUUUUUAUUUAUAUAUAGAUAUAUAUAUAUAUAGUGAUAUAUACGUAUAUAGUUAUGUAUAUAAUAAAAAAGUAGAAGCUUGGCACUCUCCUUCUAGAAGUAUAUAGAGAUAUCUUGCCUGGGUGCUCUAUCCUAAACGCCAAAAAUAUACAAAAAUACAAAACCAGGAUGCACUCACAGGUCUUAAUUAAAGUGAAAAAAAAGGUUGUUUUUAUUAUUCCAUAAAAUGUGUACAAAAAAUCAAUCGACGUUUCGACCCUGACGGGUCUUUUUCAAGAUCAAUAAAUACAGAUCAUAAGAGUGUUUAUAUACAAAAUACACCGUAUAACACUUACUAAACAAAGCUGUGAAGUGAGGUGUCUCUGCCCGUUAAAACCCAGAAGUGAAUGGAAGCCGUCCGUGACGUCACGUAAUUCAGACGCACGAUGGAGUAAAGUGGUUACCAUAGUGAUAAUAAACAAACACCGUACCAAUUGGUUGCAAGCCAGAUAACAUGGAGGAGGACCAACAAUAUAUUAUACGAGAAAGUAGUAUAAGAGAAAAUAGUAGUGAUUGCUACUAGAAUAUACAUGAACCUAAAAAAACAGUGAAACAAGUGCAAACCAUGUACAGUGAAUGCAUAUAACGCAAAUGUGGUGAAUAAAAGAUGUGAGGGGUGAUUUAGAAAUAUACCCUAGAACACCUAGUGUUACAAACAUAGCAAGGUCGCAUAAAUAAAUCUGUUCUGCUACUUAUGUUACUAAUCCACAAUAUACAAAAAAACAUAAAUCGUAUAUGAAGUGUAAUAUUCUUAUACAUAGAUAAGACCUGAUCACAGCAAUAAGAGGGAAUAAUAACAUGGUUUAUAGUAAACAAUAAGCUAAUAAGUGACAAAAACAUUGUAUGAUUGCCAAAUUAAUAGUGUAGCAUAAAUACAAUACAAAAAUUCUCCAUAAAAAGGAAACUAAAUCAACUAAAAUAACAAAAAAGAAGAAGCUGCCACAUCUUUAUGCUAUUUGCAUAAAUCCUCAUAUUCUAAGGUUAAUCCAAUACAUUUUAAACAAACGUGGUCAUAUUAUAAAUGGCCAAUACAAGUGCUGGAACAAAAUGAAAAACUGCUAAUUAAAACAUAAUAUAGCUAGUAACCUAGAAUUGUAACCGUUUAUAAGUAAUAACAUAUGUUGACUCAGUACAUCAAAUAUGGAUAAAAUGUUACAAUCCAUAAAUAAUAAAUCUUAGAAAAAUCCUCAUUCAUUGGCAUACGAAGACAACAUAAGGGCCAAGACAACGUCUUAAAGGCAUCAUCUGGUACUAGUGCAAUAUGUAAAAAUGUGGCAAAGCAAAAAGAAGCAUAACUAAAGUAUAUUGAUACAUAUAAAAAAUCCUCAAUAAUGCAUACGAAAACAACUAUAGGGAUAAAGCACCUUCUUAAAGGCAAGACUGUUGUGACAAAGCACGAUACAGCAUAAUCAGUUUACAAAAACAUAGAGUAUACAAUGUUUUCAUUUAAGAACUUAUGUAUGUAGAUAUAUGUAUUAUUUGGUUCUACAUGUAUUUUGAUAUCAAUAUAUUAAUUUUAAAAUACAGUUAGAACGAAUUUACACAUAUAUAUUUAUUUAUUUUUAUUUAAUUUUUUUACGUAUUUACAUAUUUUAUAUAUAUAUAUAAUGACAAUUAUAUAUAUAUAUAUAUAUAUAUAUAUAUAAUCAAUAUUAUUGUACGUGUAUUUUGAUUAUAUAUAUAUAUAUAUAUAUAUAUAUACAUAUAUAUAUAUAUAUAUGAUCUAAGUAUAUAUAAUUGUAUUUUACACUGAUUUUACUUUUAUUUAUUUCAGACAGCAGGGGGAGUAUCUCUCAAUACAGGCACUCACCCUGCUGGCAAUGCCUUGGACGGCUAUGCCGUCCAUGUGAUCGUGAGGUCCUCGCAAGGACCUCGCGAUCACAUGGCCAGGGGUGCCGAAGAGGACAGAGGGGGACUCCCUGGGUUCCCAGGUGAGUCCCCAUACCACAAUCGCCGGCGACUGGGUAAGUACAUAGGACGGAUUGGGCGUUCUAUGCCGCCCUCCGGCGUUUAGAGCCGGUUCUCUAAAGGACGGCAUAGAACGCCCACCCUCCUUAUGGGUUAAUGGAAGCCGAUUGCUCUUUUACUGAGGGUUUCCAUUGACUAUUAUUCUGGUUCAAAAGAGUUCCUUAAAGGGACUCUCCAGUGUCAUGAAAACAAACCCGAUCCUGCAAUACCCUCCUCCUUCUCGCCCCUUAUUUCAUGUCGCUGAAGGGGUUAAAACCCAUUCAGCUACUUACCUGAAUCCAGAGCCGAUGUCCCUCGGUGCUGGGUCAGGCUCCGCCCAUGCUCCUCCUCCACCAACGUCAGCCGACGGGGGAGACUAAAUGUGCAUGCGCGGACAUUAGACCUCCCCAUAGGGGAAAAUCUGAUGCUGGAGGUAAGUGAGGAUGUCCAGCGUCUAAUAACCGACCAAAGGUCGGUUUGGAUUUCGGAAGCCCUCUAGUGGCUGUCUAAGUGCAAGAGAGGCACAGCACCCAGACCACUUUAACGUUUUAAUGACAAUCUCAAGCCCUUUCCCCUCUCUUUUGAAUAAAAGAAAGUCAAGCCAUGUUUUGGUGUUUACCUGUGUCUGUAGCAUGUAUGUCUGUGCCAUAGAAUAUAUAGCUCUGUGUUAACUGUAAGAAUGUUUAUGUACAUAUGUUUGGGUGUAUGUAUUUGUGCAUAUGUAUAACACCUAACCACUUAAAGGACCACUAUAGUGCCAGGAAAACCUAGUUUUCCUGGCACUAUAGUGCCCUGAGGUUGCCCCAACCCUCAUGGCCCCCCUCCUGCCGGGCUGAAGUUGGAGGAAGGGGUUAAACACUUACCUUUCUCCAGCGCCAGGCUCCCUCUGCGCUGGGGACUCUCCUCCCUCUUCGGCUGAAUGCGCAUGCGCGCCAAGUGCCACGCGCGCAUUCCGCCAGUCCAUAGGAAAGCAUUCUCAAUGCUUUACUAUGGACGCUAGCGUCUUCUCAUUGUGAAAAUCACAGUGAGAAGCGCGGAAGCGCCUCUAGCGGCUGUCAAUGAGACAGCCACUAGAGGCUGGAUUAACCCAUAUGUAAACAUAGCAGUUUCUCUGAAACUGCUAUGAUUGCAGCAGAAAGGGUUAAUCCUAGAUGGACCUGGCACCCAGACCACUUCAUUAAGCUGAAGUGGUCUUGGUGGCUAUAGUGGGCCUUUAAUAACUUGUAACAGGCUCACAUUUGUUAAGCCCAUUCUACAUUUAAAGUCUAGAAACACCUCUGCUGAAAAGUCUAGAAAGGAAACAUGUCUGGAGAAACUGCCAACAGUUUGCAACUUAACUGUGAACCAGAUAGGGACAUGAACGUUAAGAAUGAUUUUCUGUGCACAUUUCCAAUAAUAUAUAUAGGCGCUGAGAAGAGCUGAGAAUGUAAUGGUUUUUAAACACAGUACAGUAAAUACUUAGAAAAGAUAUGUUCAGUAAAUGUAAAGCUUAAGAAAGCAUUCAUUUAAAUUUCUCUUGUUUACAAGUAUGUCCUAGGGCUGGGUAGGUGUAGUAGCCCGUUUGGCAUCGAGUAAAUAGGACAUACAAAUACAUUUGUUUACAGAGUUUCACCGAAAGGAUUGCAAACAGGAUUACAAAUGUGGAGUUCAGAUAUCUGCAUACAUCGAUAUUACAUUAAACAUCUGAGGAAUACAAACUAUACAGAGAUUUGGAGCAUAGUACUUUUAUACAAACUUUGGCUUAUAUACAACCUAUCUUUUAACUAACGGCAUGGACACAAUUUAUGCCUAAGAACAUAUACACUGUUAUAAACAUGCACUUUUACAGCGUACCUUGCUCCGCUUGCCAAGGGGUGCAACUUUAAACUUUAGAAAAACCUCANNNNNNNNNNNNNNNNNNNNNNNNNNNNNNNNNNNNNNNNNNNNNNNNNNNNNNNNNNNNNNNNNNNNNNNNNNNNNNNNNNNNNNNNNNNNNNNNNNNNUUAUAUACCACAUACCUCUCCUCCCUGGACCUCUCCCCUGCCGUCCUGCAACGUGUCACUGCUUGCCUUUCUUCCAUCUCUGAUUGUCCUCCUGCUUUUUAAAACUCAAUCUCCUUAUCUUAUUGAACUCCUUAUCUUUCCUCCUUCUAAUACUGAUCCUCCUCUUUCGCUCUCCCUUCAAGUUAGUGUUACCCACAUCAGUCAAUCCUUGCAAGCACGCUGUCUUGGAGUUAUAGUUGAUUAUGGCCUCACAUUUGAGCCUCACAUCCAGUCUGUUACCAAAUCCUGUAGAUUCCACCUUAAAAACAUAGCCCACAUCUGCCCCUUUCUUAUGCAAGAUGCUACUAAGGAGCUUGUCCAUGCUCUAGUAAUCUCUUGCAUGUAUUAUUGUAACUCUCUCCUAAUACGUCUUCCCACAAGUCGUACUGCCCCGCUACAGUCUGUAAUGAAUGCUGCAGCUAGACUGAUUUUCCUCUCCUGUCGCUCCUCUCACACCUCUCCCCUCUGUCAGUAUUUACAUUGGCUUCCUGUAUCCCAUAGGAGUCAAUUCGAGGUACUAACCCCCACCUAUAAAGCACUGACCAAUUCUAGCCUCUCUUAUAUUUCCUUACUGAUCCACAGGUAUGCCCCUUCUCUGUCUCUCUAUAGAAGGGUGAUGUAAGAAAGGAUGGAGAAUUUGAAAGAGGAAGAUAAAAAAGACAUGCGAAGGAGAAUGAAAUGGUUGAUAGGGGGAGCAACCUAUAUAAAUAAUAAAUGGGAGUGUAUCUAUCUGGAGAAACAAUUGAUAUUGACUUCCUUUGGUGGGCCAGGCUUUAUCCCACACAAAUAUCCCACAGGGAAUUCCCUAUAUUUAGAUGAGGGAAUACCACUCUCCAAAUAAAGAUUAUAGAGUCUUAGUGGUGUUUGAAUUCACCAAGUGAGUGCCUCAGAUCUCAUCUAAAGAUUGUUAAGAUCUGUAACAUUCAAUGAGAGGGUGUCAAGUGCAUAAACCCCUACUAUGAUAUUUAGUGAUUGAAAUGCAGAAGAUGAGGCAAGGAGAGCGAACUUAAAAAAAUAUGUUAAUACAGAAGAAGAUGUGUGUGUGUGUGGUGGGUGAAGAAUAAAGUAGAAUGCUACUGGUAUUUAAUUUGGAAAAAAGACAAACAAACAGAGAUAAAAAUUAACCAGUAUUGAUUGUUUAGAAUAACCCCCAUUAAAGGACCACUAUAGGCACCCAGAACAUUUCAGCUUAAUGAGGUGGUCUGGGUGCCUGGUCCAUCUAGGGUUAACCCUUUUCUCUAUAAACAUAGCAGUUUCAGAGAAACUGCUAUGUCUAUAAAUGGGUUAAUCCAGCCUCUAGUUGCUGUCUCAUUGACAGCCGCUAGAGGGCUAUCACGUUUCUCACUGUGAAAAUCACAGUGAGAAGACGCCAGCGUCCAUAGGAAAGCAUUGAGAAUGCUUUCCUAUGGACUGGCUGAAUGCGCGCGUGGCUCCUGCCGCGCAUGCGCAUUCAGCCAAAGAGGAUGAGAAGAGGGAGGAGAGGAGGAGAGCUCCCCGCCCGGCGCUGGAGAAAGAGGUAAGUUUAACCCCUUCCUCCCCCUAGAGCCUGGCGGGAGGGGAUCCCUGAGGGUGGGGGCUAUAGUGCCAGGAAAACAAGUAUAUUUUCCUGGCACUAUAGUGGUCCUUUAAGUCAAAAGACAUGAGAUGGUAAAAAUUACUAAUGAUGUUAUUGAUAAAUUUGAAAUCUUUUGUAAUAUAAGUAAAAAGAUGUGUUUGUGAGAACUGUAUUAUCAUUAAAUAAAAAAUAAAAUAGAUACAAUCAAUAACUGUGGUUAAUAUAGGAAACACUGCAUAGAUAUUUCUAGUUUCAUCAUUGACCUUACAUGCAAAUUGUACCUUGUCAGAGAUUAGAUAUGACAUUGUCAUGAAAUUCCGACUGUGCUGCCUCUAAGCUUCACAUCUGCUUUAUAUGGAAACAUAAGCAGCUCUUGUGUGGUGAGAGAGAAAACACAAGGGUUUGUGUGCAUGCUCGAUGUCUGGAACAGUCACGAGGGCCCGAGCUGAGAGAAGGACUUGACCCAAAUAGUCCAGAGGACACAAUGUAAUUUUACAUAACAGUGCAUUUAUUAAACGUUAUUGAAAAGUCUAGAAUGACUUGGUAUGAUUAAAACAUAUAUUUAAAAAUGGGUAUUCAUUUAAUUGUUAAGAUUAGUUUUUACAUAAAUAUCACUUUUUGUUCCAAAAGUUAAAAUUGUCUAAAAGAACACAUUUACAUUUUUUUUUUUAUUGAAGCAUAAUUGUUUGGAAAUAACAAUAACUUUGAACGUAUGUCGCAUAUAAAAAAUGAGUGCAAAUGAAACUUUACUGGGGAAAAUAAAUAUAGCUUUGUGUGAUUGAUGGUACCUACUUUAUUGCAAAUUAACAAGUAAAAGAUUUCAGUGACGUAUCAGAAUGAUUUCACCCUAAAAUUAAUUUAAGCUUAUUUUGUACCCUUUCCUCUUGGAAACUAGGAGAUACAGAAAAAUGGGUACCCUUUCCUCUUGGAAACUAGGAGAUACAGAAAGACAGACAAACAAACAAAGUAUCAUGUGCCCUUCCAAUGAGAAUAGGGAUCUCUUCAAAUUAAAAUGUAAAUAUAUUUUACUAUUUGCAUUAACUACUGAAUAAUAUAAUGUAAAUAUGACACGUUCUUGGCAGAGCAACUAAUUUAGCAACCAAAAUGUAAUUCAUUAGCCAUCACUAUCUUUGCCUUUAUAGGAAUAUAAAAAAAAGUCUGGAGCUACCUUUCCUCUUAGAGACAAACCCUAACCAUAAACUUCUACACUUUCACACCCCAAACAUGUAAUUACCAUACCUCCCCUGCUUUCUAUAAUCAGUUUUAGGAAGAUAAUAGAUAUAGCCUUAUAAAAAAAUUAUAAACCCUGUUAAAAAGAAUAAUUCCUACUAAACUGCUGAAUUCUUGUGUGAACCUUUUAUGAAUUCUCUUCUUUCAAUAUCUCAAAAAACGAAACAAAAAAAGCUUUCAUAACCAGACACAAAAUAAUACCAAAUAAAAACUGAGAGGGAGCAGAUAUGAUGGUUAAAAGAACAUUCUGGACACAUACAGUUGUAAUCAAGAUUAUUCAACCCCCAUUGAAAAUCAGGUUUAAUGUAAAAAAAAAUGACAGACUUUCAGCUGUUUGCAGUCAAACAUGACACUCAAUAAACCCCUAGCCAGUUCAGGUAUUUUUAAGUGUUCCAGCUCAAGCACAACUGCUGCAACAAAUGACAUCCUUGAUUAGUUGCAUCAGGUGUGCUUGAGGCAACACCUGUUUUGCAUAUUUGUGCUGUUGUUAGGGAUUCUAUUCAGGGGGUUAAAUAAUUUUGAUACUGGAGAAGUCAUUAUAAGUUGCAUUUUCAGGUGAAUUUGGGGAAACCACUUGAAGCAUUUGUCAAGCUAUUUCAAAUGAUUUUGCUUGAUUUGUUCAUUGAAAUUCGCUGAAAGUCUGCACAUUCUGACAACAAACCUGAUUUUCAAUGGGGUUUGAAUAAUUUUGAUUAUUGCUGUAAAGCACUUCAGCUUUCUGAAGUCCUUUAUGUGACUGGAGUCUGUCAUUCUUUUUUGACAGUUUAUAAAAGUGUGAAUGUCAAUAAAAAAUUGCAUUCUUAUAACUGGGGCAGCUACCCAGCUCCCACUCAGACAGGUGUGGAGGACUUUGUUUCAUUUCACAGAGCCAACGGAAGUGGCAAGCGAGCUGGGCUAGAGCACACCUGCCUUACCACCUUCUCAAUCAGCUAUACUACAACUCAUUGAGAAUCCUUGGAAAGCAGAAAAAAAUAAUUGUGAAUCAUGUGCAUUUACUCACAGCUCCAGCAGAGAGGCUUUCCAUACAUACAUGUUUUCUUUGGAUUUAUAUCUACUAAAUAGUUAAACAUUGGAAAAAUAAAAACAAUGGAGUGUUCCUUCAAAUUUGUUUGGAGGGUUGUAGCUAGGGUGCUGUGGUUAACUUUAAAGACCCAUUCAUUAUACCUAAUUGUGGUAGGUAUGUGGAUCUGGGUAUUUGUGUUAUUCACUGAAACACUCAGGUUAUUUUGGGGGUUUGAGGGACACCAUACACAUAUCUGAAUCUUCCCACCAUGAAUAAGGUAGAGUAGAGUAGAGAGCCAUUUAGACCUCUCCUGUUACAGGCUGGGGUCUCAUGGACUGUGAAUAUAAUGUUUAGUUUGCUUAAGGAAACUAUAUUUGCAUUUAUAAUUCACUACAUCCAAUAUGAUUGCUCCUGACAUUGUACAUACUCUGUAAUUACUCCAAAAAAAAAAAGCUAACAGUGGGUAGAAGUGCAACUUUUUCCAACAACAUGUCUCAAUGAGUCAAUAUAAAGAUAAAAUAGAAGGGCAUUAAAAAUUGAUCCUUCGAAUAACUCCACCUAAAAAUACAACAACAAAGAUGAGGUGCUUGAAAUGAGACCUUAUUUAUAUACAUAUUUGCUAUAUGUACUCCUUGUCAUACCAUCACAUCCCUGUAAAUAAUUGGCUUUUGAUUUGAGAAUGAGUCACUACAAACUAUUUUACUAAAAAAGACAUUCUGGUUCUUCAUGCCAUUUUUAUUUCUGUUCUUAUAGUCAAGGCUGUUUUAGUGUGACUUGUUUCAUUUUUGUUAUUGAUUUUACCAUUUAUUUAUUUAUUUAUUCAUUAUUUAUUACUGGUAUUUAAAAAAGCGCCAACAGAUUCCACCGCGAUUUGCAAUUAGUGGAGAACGUACAAUAUACACAGACAAAUGCAAGAAGUAGAGAAAGCUGUGCCCGUAAGCUGAUAACUAGCCAUUGGAGCUCUUUGAAACAAAGUGCUUAGCUAGAUAGCCCGUGAGAUUACAAUCUAGGAAGCAGGGGAAAUUUGGAGGUGACGGCUAAAAGAGUUAGCAGAGAGAAGCAGCUAUUGGUAAAAUGUAAAGGGAGUGAAAAGGUAAUAGAGUGAGAAUCUCAAACAGCUGGAGGAGCAUGCUAUAUAUUUAGGGGGAACCUGGCUGGGUGGAUGGGUGGGAAGUGGUGAGGGUUGUUGGAUUUGCAGCAGGAUGUUAAAUGCAGAGCUCCACUGAGUAUGAGUGUGAGAUGAGGCCUGAAGGACAGAGAUGGAACACUUAUAUGAAGGUAUUUACAGCCGGGAGGAGAAUAGUAAAGAUGGGGAGUAGGGGAGAGGGGAAGGUAGAGUAGCCAUGUGUUAUAUACUAUUGAAAAGUUUAGCAACCAAAUUCUAUCACCCAAAAUAUUAUUAACUUUCUACAUUAAUUAUUGGUCAGAAACAUUAAAUGACAAUAAUGAAAACUGCAUGCACAGAAAAUUACUGUGGCAAACUACAGGUAUAACUGGUAACAAUUCUAUAGUAACACAUGAUAAUAUGGUAGCAAUCCUAGAAUAAAUUUGGUGAAGUAUCUUCCAAGCUUCACUCAAUACCUGAGGGUUGUUGGAUUUGCUACCGGAUGUUAAAUGCAGAGCUCCACUGAGUAUGAGUGAGAUGAGGACUGAGGGUUGUUGGAUUUGCUGCAGGAUGUUAUCUUUUAUUUGAAUGUUUUAAUAUAAUUGUAUAUGUUAGUACUUUUAUUCAUGUAGCUGUUUCUGUCUUGAUCAUUAUUUAUUUUUCAUUUUACAGAGUUGUUUUUUUGCAUUUUGUUUACUACUCAAAGGAAUGUAGACAUUACUAUGUUGAUAACAGCAACCUGUUUUGUGUAAUUUUUCAGAGUGUGCCUUUGAUCCAGC
Molecule: long non-coding RNA, 28846 nt
Filed under: Pelobates cultripes (western spadefoot toad)
Lineage: Eukaryota; Metazoa; Chordata; Amphibia; Anura; Pelobatidae
Source: RNAcentral